RNAcentral lists this ribosomal RNA (245 nucleotides) under uncultured prokaryote. RNAcentral's name for it is "partial 16S ribosomal RNA". It matches the Rfam family "Bacterial small subunit ribosomal RNA", at positions 439 to 700 of the family's 1533-position model. The record is from RNAcentral.
UGAGUGACGAUUAUGACGGUAACUCAAGAAUAAGGGUCGGCUAAAUACGUGCCAGCAGCCGCGGUCAUACGUAGGACCCAAGCGUUAUCCGGAAUCACUGGGCGUAAAGAGUUGCGUAGGUGGCUUGUUAAGCAGCGUGUGAAAGCGUACGGCUCAACCGUAUACACAUACACUGAACUGGCAAGCUUGAGGAUGAGAGAGGUUAUUGGAAUUCCAAGUGUAGGAGUGAAAUCCGUAGAUAUUUG